RNAcentral lists this microRNA (21 nucleotides) under Anolis carolinensis (green anole). RNAcentral describes it as "aca-miR-5451". Lineage: Eukaryota; Metazoa; Chordata; Lepidosauria; Squamata; Anolidae. The record is from miRBase by way of RNAcentral.
UGGACUAAGAUCUGAAAGAGC